AUGGUCGCGGCCACGUACGGCAGCGCGCGAGUCGUCUUGCUGCUGUUCGGGCGCACCGGCUGGGUCGAUGUAGCUCGUCGGCCUGGCGACGACGGCUUCACCCCAAGCAGUUGCACCUGGGAACCAGGUGCUCAAGGCCCGCUGCCGCGGGAUGCCGUGGAAGGGAGCCGCGGCAGCCGCGCGAGGGCGGAUCUACGUCGCCGGCGGCCACGUAGCGGAGGUUGUCCAUCUCGACGUGCACUCGACGGCCACAGGGAAGACGACCACGAGAGCGCCCGAUAG
RNAcentral lists this ribosomal RNA (282 nucleotides) under Triticum aestivum (bread wheat). RNAcentral's name for it is "partial small subunit ribosomal RNA". The record is from RNAcentral. Lineage: Eukaryota; Viridiplantae; Streptophyta; Magnoliopsida; Poales; Poaceae.